GAGUUUGAUCAUGGCUCAGAUUGAACGCUGGCGGCAGGCCUAACACAUGCAAGUCGAACGGUAACAGGAAGCAGCUUGCUGCUUCGCUGACGAGUGGCGGACGGGUGAGUAAUGUCUGGGAAGCUGCCUGAUGGAGGGGGAUAACUACUGGAAACGGUAGCUAAUACCGCAUAAUGUCGCAAGACCAAAGAGGGGGACCUUCGGGCCUCUUGCCAUCGGAUGUGCCCAGAUGGGAUUAGCUUGUUGGUGGGGUAACGGCUCACCAAGGCGACGAUCCCUAGCUGGUCUGAGAGGAUGACCAGCCACACUGGAACUGAGACACGGUCCAGACUCCUACGGGAGGCAGCAGUGGGGAAUAUUGCACAAUGGGCGCAAGCCUGAUGCAGCCAUGCCGCGUGUAUGAAGAAGGCCUUCGGGUUGUAAAGUACUUUCAGCGGGGAGGAAGGGAGUAAAGUUAAUACCUUUGCUCAUUGACGUUACCCGCAGAAGAAGCACCGGCUAACUCCGUGCCAGCAGCCGCGGUAAUACGGAGGGUGCAAGCGUUAAUCGGAAUUACUGGGCGUAAAGCGCACGCAGGCGGUUUGUUAAGUCAGAUGUGAAAUCCCCGGGCUCAACCUGGGAACUGCAUCUGAUACUGGCAAGCUUGAGUCUCGUAGAGGGGGGUAGAAUUCCAGGUGUAGCGGUGAAAUGCGUAGAGAUCUGGAGGAAUACCGGUGGCGAAGGCGGCCCCCUGGACGAAGACUGACGCUCAGGUGCGAAAGCGUGGGGAGCAAACAGGAUUAGAUACCCUGGUAGUCCACGCCGUAAACGAUGUCGACUUGGAGGUUGUGCCCUUGAGGCGUGGCUUCCGGAGCUAACGCGUUAAGUCGACCGCCUGGGGAGUACGGCCGCAAGGUUAAAACUCAAAUGAAUUGACGGGGGCCCGCACAAGCGGUGGAGCAUGUGGUUUAAUUCGAUGCAACGCGAAGAACCUUACCUGGUCUUGACAUCCACGGAAGUUUUCAGAGAUGAGAAUGUGCCUUCGGGAACCGUGAGACAGGUGCUGCAUGGCUGUCGUCAGCUCGUGUUGUGAAAUGUUGGGUUAAGUCCCGCAACGAGCGCAACCCUUAUCCUUUGUUGCCAGCGGUCCGGCCGGGAACUCAAAGGAGACUGCCAGUGAUAAACUGGAGGAAGGUGGGGAUGACGUCAAGUCAUCAUGGCCCUUACGACCAGGGCUACACACGUGCUACAAUGGCGCAUACAAAGAGAAGCGACCUCGCGAGAGCAAGCGGACCUCAUAAAGUGCGUCGUAGUCCGGAUUGGAGUCUGCAACUCGACUCCAUGAAGUCGGAAUCGCUAGUAAUCGUGGAUCAGAAUGCCACGGUGAAUACGUUCCCGGGCCUUGUACACACCGCCCGUCACACCAUGGGAGUGGGUUGCAAAAGAAGUAGGUAGCUUAACCUUCGGGAGGGCGCUUACCACUUUGUGAUUCAUGACUGGGGUGAAGUCGAAACAAGGUA
This 1499-nucleotide ribosomal RNA is filed under the name metagenome. RNAcentral describes it as "bacterial SSU rRNA". It matches the Rfam family "Bacterial small subunit ribosomal RNA". The record is from RNAcentral.